Molecule: ribosomal RNA, 496 nt
Filed under: uncultured bacterium
Lineage: Bacteria
Description: bacterial SSU rRNA
Rfam family: Bacterial small subunit ribosomal RNA
Source: RNAcentral
AUUGAACGCUGGCGGCACGCUUAACACAUGCAAGUCGAACGGCAGCGCGGAGAGCUUGCUCUCUGGCGGCGAGUGGCGGACGGGUGAGUAACGCGUAGGGAUCUACCCUUGAGUUUGGGAUAACCCGAGGAAACUCGGGCUAAUACCGUAUAACAACUCUGCGGAGAAAAGCUGGGGAUCUUUUUAUUAAGACCUGGCGCUUGAGGAAGAACCUGCGUCGGAUUAGCUAGUUGGUGGGGUAAAGGCCUACCAAGGCAACGAUCCGUAGCUGGUCUGAGAGGACGAACAGCCACACUGGGACUGAGACACGGCCCAGACUCCUACGGGAGGCAGCAGUGGGGAAUAUUGGACAAUGGGGGAAACCCUGAUCCAGCGAUGCCGCGUGUGUGAAGAAGGCCUGCGGGUUGUAAAGCACUUUCAGUAGUGAAGAGAGGUUGAGACCGAAUAAGUUUCAGCUGAGACGUUAACUACACAAGCAGCACCGGCUAACUCUGUG